UGAUAAAUUAACAAUCACAAUAUCUUUUUCUUUUGCAUUAAGUUUUUCCAAAUGGGCUAAUGCAUGUGCGCUUUCCAAAGCAGGAAUAAUACCUUCGAGCUUGCAAAGCAAGAACCCGGCUUUUAAUGCCUCGUCAUCGGUUGCACUCACAAACAGGGCACGCUUUGUUUCAAAUAAAUGAGCAUGUAUGGGUCCAAUAC
This 200-nucleotide unclassified non-coding RNA is filed under the name uncultured bacterium. RNAcentral describes it as "contains 16S-23S intergenic spacer region". The record is from RNAcentral.